GUGCCAGCAGCCGCGGUAAGACGAACCGUGCGAACGUUAUUCGGAAUCACUGGGCUUAAGGCGCGUGUAGGCGGGCCGCCACGUCGGGCGCUGAAAUCCCCCGGCUCAACCGGGGAACGGGCACCGAUACGAGCGGCCUGGAGGGGAGUAGGGGGACCUGGAACUUCCGGUGGAGCGGUGAAAUGCGUUGAGAUCGGAAGGAACGCCCGUGGCGAAAGCGAGGUCCUGGGCUCCUGCUGACGCUGAGACGCGAAAGCCAGGGGAGCGAACGGGAUUAGAUACCCCCGUAGUCC
This 293-nucleotide ribosomal RNA is filed under the name uncultured bacterium. RNAcentral describes it as "partial 16S ribosomal RNA". It matches the Rfam family "Bacterial small subunit ribosomal RNA", at positions 505 to 796 of the family's 1533-position model. The record is from RNAcentral.